GUCCGUAUUGUGGCUUUAUUCCCCUAUACCAGGUUUUCACCAAGCAAAUGUGUGAAUUAUGGUCACAUUAAUAUGGGCCUGACCUUCCUUCUUCACCCCUGGGGUCAUUUGGUGGUCAGUUAAGAGGAAACCCAAAGGAGAGAUAAGACUUAUCUUUGCAACCCACUUUGGGUUUUCCAGGAGACGGGGGAGAAGCAGAUGCCGCAGAUGUCCAGCUAAAAAGCAGUUAUUUAAGUGGUUGAGUGACUGUUCAAUAUGAAGACUGCUUAUGCUUGAGGGGCUGCACCGGAUGGAAGUCUAGAACUUUGAGUGGUGACCUGAGAUGCUGAGCAGGCAUCCCGGCUGCUCCCAUCCUGGCUGAUCCUAGGCCUCCUUGGUCCAGGCACACCUCCUUCCCACCACUGGUGAGUCUGCUCUCCCCUCUCUGAGCCUGGCUCCUGACCUUCCCCUUGUGUCAUGGUGACUUCCUCCCCCAUCCACCCACCCAAGGCCCUCAUUUCCUUUGACCUUCAACUCCUUCAAGAAGCAUUUCCUGAAUCUCUGGGGCCCACACUGGUGACGGCCCAGCUCCCAGUUCCUCCUCACUUAGGGAGACUUGCCCUGCCAUCCUUACCAGCUCGUAUUUGCUUUGAAAGCAGGACUCAUGUGUCCUACUGGAGGGGGUCCUUCUGCAGGUCCUGCUGCAACAUCCUGUGACCCCAGAAGGGGAAUGAGGAGCCCAAGGCAUCAUUCUCCCUCUGGGCUUCACUGCCACCAAACUGGAAGCCCCUGGGCCAGUCCUCUGUGGAUCCACUUCCAUUUCCUUCCUUGUUGGAACCAUGUCCUCCUUGUUGCCUCUUCCAAGCUCAGGCUUCAGUCCUUCCUGCCCGGCUGGAUCCCGUCCCAAGGGCCCUGCAAUGAAAUCUAUUUUUAAC
This 914-nucleotide long non-coding RNA is filed under the name Equus asinus (donkey). Its description in RNAcentral is "lncRNA (ENSEASG00005029971.1)". Lineage: Eukaryota; Metazoa; Chordata; Mammalia; Perissodactyla; Equidae. The record is from RNAcentral.